RNAcentral lists this unclassified non-coding RNA (391 nucleotides) under soil metagenome. RNAcentral describes it as "partial contains 5.8S ribosomal RNA, internal transcribed spacer 2, and large subunit ribosomal RNA". The stretch from base 1 to 122 matches the Rfam family "5.8S ribosomal RNA", at positions 35 to 154 of the family's 154-position model. The record is from RNAcentral.
GAUGAAGAACGUAGCGAAAUGCGAUACUUGGUGUGAAUUGCAGAAUCCCGUGAACCAUCGAGUCUUUGAACGCAAGUUGCGCCCGAAGCCACUAGGCCGAGGGCACGCCUGCCUGGGCGUCACACGCCGUUGCCCCCCCAUCUACUCCUUCGGGAUUGCGGGGGGGCGGAUGAUGGCCUCCCGUGCGCCUAGCCGCGCGGUUGGCAUAAAUACCAAGUCCUCGGCGACGCACGCCACGACAAUCGGUGGUUGCGAAACCUCGGUUGCCCGUCGUGUGCGUUCGUCGCGCAUCGAGGGCUCGAAAAAAUGCUCGGCUCCGGCUGGGCUUUCAACGCGACCCCAGGUCAGGCGGGGUUACCAGCUGAAUUUAAGCAUAUCAAUAAGCGGAGGA